ACGUUAUCGGAAGCAGUGUCUUCCAUAAUUA
This is a non-coding RNA of Oreochromis niloticus (Nile tilapia), 31 nucleotides long. The record is from Rfam. NCBI's taxonomy places the organism in Eukaryota, Metazoa, Chordata, Actinopteri, Cichliformes, Cichlidae.